This 1475-nucleotide ribosomal RNA is filed under the name metagenome. RNAcentral describes it as "bacterial SSU rRNA". It matches the Rfam family "Bacterial small subunit ribosomal RNA". The record is from RNAcentral.
AGAGUUUGAUCCUGGCUCAGGACGAACGCUGGCGGCGUGCUUAACACAUGCAAGUCGAACGGUGACGAGGAGCUUGCUCCUCUGAUCAGUGGCGAACGGGUGAGUAACACGUGAGCAACCUGCCCCAGACUCUGGGAUAACAGUUGGAAACAGCUGCUAAUACCGGAUACGAGACGGAGAGGCAUCUCUACCGACUGGAAAGUUUUUCGGUCUGGGAUGGACUCGCGGCCUAUCAGCUAGUUGGUGAGGUAAUGGCUCACCAAGGCGACGACGGGUAGCCGGCCUGAGAGGGCGACCGGCCACACUGGGACUGAGACACGGCCCAGACUCCUACGGGAGGCAGCAGUGGGGAGUAUUGCACAAUGGGCGAAAGCCUGAUGCAGCGACGCCGCGUGAGGGAUGACGGCCUUCGGGUUGUAAACCUCUUUCAGCAGGGAAGAAGCGAAAGUGACGGUACCUGCAGAAGAAGCACCGGCUAACUACGUGCCAGCAGCCGCGGUAAUACGUAGGGUGCGAGCGUUGUCCGGAAUUAUUGGGCGUAAAGAGCUUGUAGGCGGUUUGUCGCGUCUGCAGUGAAAAUCCGAGGCUCAACCUCGGACUUGCUGUGGGUACGGGCAGACUAGAGUAUGGUAGGGGAGACCGGAAUUCCUGGUGUAGCGGUGGAAUGCGCAGAUAUCAGGAGGAACACCGAUGGCGAAGGCAGGUCUCUGGGCCAUAACUGACGCUGAGAAGCGAAAGCAUGGGGAGCGAACAGGAUUAGAUGCCCUGGUAGUCCAUGCCGUAAACGUUGGGCGCUAGGUGUGGGGCUCAUUCCACGAGCUCCGUGCCGCAGCUAACGCAUUAAGCGCCCCGCCUGGGGAGUACGGCCGCAAGGCUAAAACUCAAAGGAAUUGACGGGGGCCCGCACAAGCGGCGGAGCAUGCGGAUUAAUUCGAUGCAACGCGAAGAACCUUACCAAGGCUUGACAUAUACCGGAAACAUCCAGAGAUGGGUGCCCCGCAAGGUCGGUAUACAGGUGCAUGGUUGUCGUCAGCUCGUGUCGCGAGAUGUUGGGUUAAGUCCCGCAACGAGCGCAACCCUCGUUCUAUGUUGCCAGCGCGUAAUGGCGGGGACUCAUAGGAGACUGCCGGGGUCAACUCGGAGGAAGGUGGGGAUGACGUCAAAUCAUCAUGCCCCUUAUGUCUUGGGCUUCACGCAUGCUACAAUGGCCGGUACAAAGGGCUGCGAUACCGCGAGGUGGAGCGAAUCCCAAAAAACCGGUCUCAGUUCGGAUUGGGGUCUGCAACUCGACCCCAUGAAGUCGGAGUCGCUAGUAAUCGCAGAUCAGCAACGCUGCGGUGAAUACGUUCCCGGGCCUUGUACACACCGCCCGUCAAGUCACGAAAGUCGGUAACACCCGAAGCCGGUGGCCCAACCCUUGUGGAGGGAGCCGUCGAAGGUGGGACUGGCAAUUGGGACUAAGUCGUAACAAGGUA